RNAcentral lists this long non-coding RNA (1346 nucleotides) under Cyanistes caeruleus (blue tit). RNAcentral's name for it is "lncRNA (ENSCCEG00000015708.1)". Lineage: Eukaryota; Metazoa; Chordata; Aves; Passeriformes; Paridae. The record is from RNAcentral.
AACAGUAAUUUAGAAAACCUUUUGGUUUUUAUUAUCCUUGUUUUUGCUUAGCCAAUCUCCUCGUAAGCAUUUGGCUGCAGCAAUGUUACAAAAGUUUGCCCAAACACUGGAUUAGCAAAUGGAUUUUUAGAUUAAAAGAUAAUACGUUGCAAAUGCAUGGUUACCAAAUAUCUUUUGCCCCCAUAUUUAGAAAUAACAUACAGAAAUCAAAACAGACCUUGAUGAAAGCUCCUUUCUUGCUUUGGCACAGAAUCUAGUGUUAGAUUCAGAGAGAUUCUGAAUGGACUAAAUAGUGCACUGUAAGAGGUUUUACAAAGAGGAAGGAAAGAGGGAAAAAAACAAGCUUUUCUUCUAAUGCUGGUGGUUCCUGCUAGCUGCAGUGACUUUCUGCAGUUUUCCUGAUUUCUUUACAGAUUUUAUAGCUUAUAUUCAGUCAUCAAAUCUCUCUGCUUCUGCUCUGGUAUUCAAUUUCACAGACCAGAACACUCUGAGAUGAAUAACUGAUGAUGCUGAACUGAAACAGCUGAAAUUCCAUGUAUGAUUCACAAUCUAGAACUAAAUCUCUGAAAAGUUGCAUUUUCAAGUCUUGCUGUUCACAGAAAAAGUGUUCCAAGGAUGGCAGCCUCCUGUCCACACUACUCCAUUUCACUGGUCAGGGCUCUGAGGCUCUGGGACACAGCCUUGACUGGGUCAACUGCCAUGCAGAAAUUAAUAUUUCAAAUAGACUGUCAGAUCUUUAUGCUCUGAAGGGUUCUCAGAGCCUGGUGGCUCAGCAGCGUAUGUCUGCCUACAGCACGCCAAUGCCAAGCAUCGACAGAGAGAGGUCACCAAGCAUGAAGCUGCUGAAGCAGGCAACACUGGAAAUCUUGGAUACCUCUCGAUAGAUCAAGAAAUCAUUUGGAAGGAGCCAUGAAAUUCCAACAUAAAAGAAUUAGCCUUGCAAAAACCUCUUCUAUUUUACCUCAUAUAUUGUUCAACUCAUAACACUGGGAUAUCUUAGCCUACAGUGAGAACUCAUUUUUAUCUAAUACACAUAAUUAGGCCAAAUCAAUGGAUUACAGAUUAAACAAGCAGGGAAUUUAACUAUGACUGGAAGAACAUUAUGGAUCAGAAGUCCUAAUAAUAUAUGGCCAUCAUUUUAAAAUGCUGGUUAUUUAUUGAAAAUUUUAUCUUGAAGUGGCCUGCAAGAAACUAGCAGCUUUUAAGUUCUUACUAAUUUACUUCACUUGACAACAAAUAUUUAUUUACAUUAAUUUCACAUUUGGUCACAUAUUGAAUGGUUACUGAGCCCUGAGUUUUGCUUGUUUUAAAAUAAAACUGUUAGGUCCUUUGCUUGUUGUUAAAUA